GAUGAAGAACGUAGCGAAAUGCGAUACUUGGUGUGAAUUGCAGAAUCCCGUGAACCAUCGAGUCUUUGAACGCAAGUUGCGCCCGAAGCCAUCAGGUUGAGGGCACGUCUGCCUGGGCGUCACAUAUCGUUGCUCGAUGCCUAUCGCAUUGCGAUAGGACUUAGGGCGAAUGAUGGCUUCCCGUGAGCAUUGUUGCCUCGCGGUUGGUUGAAAAUCGAGUCCUUGGUAGGGUGUGCCAUGAUAGAUGGUGGUCGAGUUAGCACGAGACUGAUCAUGUGCAUGCUCCCCAAAAUAUGGCCUCUGUGACCCCCACGCGUCUUUUGACGCUCAUGACGAGACCUCAGGUCAGGCGGGGCUACCCGCUGAAUUUAAGCAUAUCAAUAAGCGGAGGA
Molecule: unclassified non-coding RNA, 392 nt
Filed under: soil metagenome
Description: partial contains 5.8S ribosomal RNA, internal transcribed spacer 2, and large subunit ribosomal RNA
Rfam family: 5.8S ribosomal RNA (bases 1-122)
Source: RNAcentral